UUGAUUUGAGCAGUUAAUGAAGAUUAUAAAGAUGAUUUUUUUUCCCACAAAAAUGUUGAAAAAUUGAGGGGAUCAUCGGAAGUGAUUGUCAGCAAUAAGUUGCCACAUACUGCUUUAAAUAUCACAAAAAAGAAUGAGAUUACUAAAGAAAACUUGGAUGGGAUAAUGAGAAUGGCUCAUUUUGUAGGUUCUGUUAACCUAGAUUAGUGCUAAAAGGUUUGUUUGUGGUAAGCUUUUGUAAUGAGGUCAAUUUCACUGAAGUCCGCGUAUUCUGUAUCGAGAUCAAUGAUUCCCUAUUCUAGGGGUUGGUGGCCUGUGGACUCCCUAUCUUGGUCCCCCGGGUUUGUUCACUGCCCACACCAUACUUAAGUAAUUGUCAACAACAAGGUGCCACAUACUGCUUUACGUAUCAUGAGAAGGAAUGAGGUUACUAAAGAAAACUUGGAUGGGAUGGUGAGAUGGCUCGUGCAUUGACUUUUAUUUUUGUAGGUCCUGUAAAGAUAACCUAGAUUAGUGCUGAAAGGUUGGUUUGUGGUAAGCUUUUGUAAUGAGGUCAAUUUCACCAAAGUCUACUUAUUCUGUGUUGAGAUCAAUGAAUCCCUAUUCUAGGGGUUGGCAACCUAUUCACUCCCUGUCUUGGUCUCCCAUAGGUUCGUCCGCUGCCCACAUCAUACUGAAAUUCAGAUUCCCUGCUCGCCAUUAUUUGUUGUGCUUAAUUCAAAAAUUAGGAGCUUAUGGUUGAGAGUUGUUGGAGGAAGUUGUUAACUUACUAAAAGAAGAGAGCAAGUAGGAUGAGUAUGAGAGUUGCAUUUUUCAUUAAUAUGCUGAAUCACAUGACAUCAUUUUCAUACAUUCAUUGUCAGUUAACAUGCAAAAUCACAAAAUAUUAUUACUUUAACUGCAAACCGAAACACCAAACUAAUCGAUUUUUGUGAUCCUAGAUUGUCAUUUUUCUAUGAACUUUAAAUAAUACGAUUAUUCUUUGCAACAAAACGAUGAUUUUGUCAAUGCUUCCGGUCUGAUUCUCAAUCCACUAACUAUGGCACUCAUAUCCAAUGCUCCUUGGAAUGUUAGCUGUAUAUUUACCCCUCUUUUUGGUGGAUGGCAAUGGAAGUAAUCAAGUAGGUGCCAUAAGGGUGGAAUCAGACUCCCCUAUCACUCCAGCUUAUAGAAGAGGGAUUGCUAGGGGUGCAAACUGUUGGCACACACACUAAGCCUGCACUUUAUCUUCACGAUGAGGUAAUGGCAAUUGAAUUUGAACACCACCUUCUGCCACUGAUAGUUCAUUGUAUGAAGCUUACAUUUCUUGCUUCUAGGUUAUGGUGGAGUUGGUCCCUCCCACCAUUCAAUUUUUUAUCUACUUAAUCUCUAAAGCUAUACCAAUUAGUGUCAGUUUCCAAACUAGAUUGUCUCUCUCCACGGCUUAAAUUAAGGUUGCUGCAAGAUGUAUAGUUUUAUGUGCCUUUCUGGAAUGAGUUUAAGGAACAACUUUCCGCUUUUACUAAUGCCAAGCUUUUCUGAAUCUGCAUCAUGAAAAGAAUAGGGGCCUUGAAAGCAGCACCAAAUCACAGUUUAGUUGCUUCCAUGACCCACCAAUCACUCUUCGAGAUCUGUAAAUAAUACAGCAUAUAUGAAUUCUGGGGUCUACUACUAAUUCCCUUGCAAAAGUUUCAGGAUCAGUGGAGGAAAUGAUGAAAAAGUAUAUUCCUAAGGCCUACUAACUUUAGCCUUGAUAGGGAUGUGAGGAGGGAUGAAUUCAUGGGUUUUUCCUUUUCACAGUUUAACCAUGACCAAGAAUCCCCUCAUUUAGGUGUUGGUCUUUUUUAUUAGUUCAUGGUGUUCUUGAAUUGACGCAUGGCUUGUGACGCAAUGAUCCUCUGUAGACUUUCAAGUGUUUAUAGUGACUGUUUAUUUUGCACUUUUUUAUAUUGAGUAAUGAAAUUCAUUGCAUUUGAUGUAAAGACAGACUUUUCUAUGUAAAGAUUACAAAAAGGGAUUAAGAGGUGUGAAACUAUUUAUCUUUAAGUAAUAGUUUCAUAUUUUAUCUUUUAUAUUUUUAAAGAAUAGGAUGAACGCAUAAUUUGCAUAGAGAAAUUAAGUAGCAGCUGAUGAAUGUAUACCUACGAGGGCUCUUUGUGUGAUGCAAGAGAUCUGCAAGCUAUGAAAGUGUUUUAAAAUUGCAAGCUUUAGCAAUUUUAGAUGAGGCAAAUUGUUGUAGAUUGGCUAGAAAAGUAAGGAGAUAAAGGAGAGAAUAAGCUGAUGGACUGGGACAGAUGAGUUCACGAAGAAGGUAGCUGUGGAUAUCACAUUAGUUUAGGAAGAAAGGAGUUGUACAACUGAGUAUGCCAAGGAGAUAAGGA
Molecule: long non-coding RNA, 2360 nt
Filed under: Phoenix dactylifera (date palm)
Lineage: Eukaryota; Viridiplantae; Streptophyta; Magnoliopsida; Arecales; Arecaceae
Description: long non-coding RNA (PDAC_LNC005650)
Source: RNAcentral